Molecule: unclassified non-coding RNA, 334 nt
Filed under: soil metagenome
Description: partial contains 5.8S ribosomal RNA, internal transcribed spacer 2, and large subunit ribosomal RNA
Rfam family: 5.8S ribosomal RNA (bases 1-120)
Source: RNAcentral
GAUGAAGAACGUAGUGAAAUGCGAUAAGUAGUGUGAAUUGCAGAAUUCAGUGAAUCAUCGAAUCUUUGAACGCACAUUGCGCCCGCCAGUAUUCUGGCGGGCAUGCCUGUUCGAGCGUCAUUUCAACCAUCAAGCCCCCGGCUUGUGUUGGGGACCUGCGGCUGCCGCAGGCCCUGAAAACCAGUGGCGGGCUCGCUAGUCACUCCGAGCGUAGUAAUACAUCUCGCUCAGGGCGUGCUGCGGGUUCCGGCCGUUAAAAAGCCUUAUUUACCCAAGGUUGACCUCGGAUCAGGUAGGAAGACCCGCUGAACUUAAGCAUAUCAAUAGCGGAGGA